Molecule: ribosomal RNA, 254 nt
Filed under: uncultured bacterium
Lineage: Bacteria
Description: partial 16S ribosomal RNA
Rfam family: Bacterial small subunit ribosomal RNA
Source: RNAcentral
GACGAACCGUGCGAACGUUAUUCGGAAUCACUGGGCUUAAAGCGCGUGUAGGCGGAAGGGCACGUCCGACGCUGAAAUCCCCCGGCUCAACCGGGGAAGUGGCUCGGAUACGACUCUUCUGGAGGGGCGUAGGGGGACCUGGAACUUCCGGUGGAGCGGUGAAAUGCGUUGAGAUCGGAAGGAACGCCCGUGGCGAAAGCGAGGUCCUGGACGCUUACUGACGCUGAGACGCGAAAGCCAGGGGAGCGAACGGG